This 340-nucleotide ribosomal RNA is filed under the name uncultured bacterium. RNAcentral's name for it is "bacterial SSU rRNA". It matches the Rfam family "Bacterial small subunit ribosomal RNA", at positions 1 to 334 of the family's 1533-position model. The record is from RNAcentral.
GUGAGUAGUUCAGAGUUUGAUCCUGGCUCAGGAUGAACGCUGGCGGCACGCUUAACACAUGCAAGUCGAGCGAAGGGAAAGGUGCUUGCACCUAUCCCUUAGCGGCGGACGGGUGAGUAACACGUGGGUAACCUACCUCAUACAGGGGGAUAACGUAUAGAAAUGUACGCUAAUACCGCAUAAGCCUACAGAAUGGCAUCAUUCAGUAGGAAAAACUCCGGUGGUAUGAGAUGGGCCCGCGACUGAUUAGCUAGUUGGGGAGGUAACGGCUCACCAAGGCGACGAUCAGUAGCCGGUCUGAGAGGAUGGACGGCCACAUUGGGACUGAGACACGGCCCAG